RNAcentral lists this ribosomal RNA (274 nucleotides) under uncultured bacterium. RNAcentral's name for it is "partial 16S ribosomal RNA". It matches the Rfam family "Bacterial small subunit ribosomal RNA", at positions 523 to 796 of the family's 1533-position model. The record is from RNAcentral.
AUACGGAGGGAGCGAGCGUUAAUCGGAAUUACUGGGCGUAAAGCGCGCGUAGGCGGCUUUGUCAGUCGGAUGUGAAAUGCCCGGGCUUAACCUGGGCCUGUCAUCCAAAACUGGAUAACUAGAGUAUAGUAGAGGGCAGUGGAAUUUCCGGUGUAGCGGUGAAAUGCGUAGAUAUCGGAAGGAACACCAGUGGCGAAGGCGACUGCCUGGACUGAAACUGACACUGAGGUGCGAAAGCGUGGGGAGCGAACAGGAUUAGAAACCCGGGUAGUCC